UAUCACCAAGGAUUGUCUUUCUCGCAACAUUUUUCCUGUGAGAAGAAGAAGGGAAUCAAACUUGAACAACCUCGUUCAGGUGCGAAUCAAAUUAUAAAAGGAAGUG
This is a non-coding RNA of Vibrio sp. N418, 106 nucleotides long. The record is from Rfam. Lineage: Bacteria; Pseudomonadati; Pseudomonadota; Gammaproteobacteria; Vibrionales; Vibrionaceae.